This is a small RNA of Eubacterium sp. CAG:180, 77 nucleotides long. It matches the Rfam family "Gut-1 RNA". The record is from Rfam. Lineage: Bacteria; Bacillati; Bacillota; Clostridia; Eubacteriales; Eubacteriaceae.
CAACUAAAUCCACCCUUGCGGGUGGGUGAAAUAUUGCUUCGCAAUAUGAAAUACGCUUUCAGCGUAUGAAAUCGCUG